This 2804-nucleotide long non-coding RNA is filed under the name Setaria italica (foxtail millet). RNAcentral's name for it is "long non-coding RNA (SITA_LNC007534)". The record is from RNAcentral. Lineage: Eukaryota; Viridiplantae; Streptophyta; Magnoliopsida; Poales; Poaceae.
CUGUGAACCCUUUUGUAACAACCAUAGUUGUUUCCUGUCUAGGGAUAACAUGCGUUAGUGCUAGCCACCUACUUCUUAGCACCGGGAAUAAAACCGGGAGGGGUUCGAAUCCCCUCUGCAAGAUGCGUGGCCAUGGAAUUCCAACCUCCAUGACUGGCGCAAGGUUCCCUUCUCUUGUCGAUUGCUAGCUUAGGAGGAGCCAUAAGAACCCAUCCGCAAUCUCCCCCUGGGGAUAAUGGUCAAUUUCAUCGAUCGAGGGAAUCGAUGGAAACAUUCCCUGGCAAGAGGGGUAAUAGACUUGAGUUACAAAGGACAAGAAGGCACAGAUUGUGGAAGAUCUUCCGAUGCUAGGCGGAAGACACCACUGGGCGGAUCCCACGGGGGUCCGUCCUGCGACAGUGACCGACGCGACGCUAUACCGGAAAGGCCCCUCGGGGUGUUAGAAAGUGUAGGAUGUGUACAGAGCAGUGCUUGGAAAGGGUUGUGCUUCGGGCAAACACCUAAAAAGGUUUUCCCCCGAACCCCCUUUCCAAAAAAGAUGGAACGGAACUGGAACCUAACUUUGGUGAUUAUCUUCAGUGGUUAGGUUCCAAGAACUAUAGUAUAACUCAUUAGCUACACCCCCGCCCUCAGGGUGAAGGUGUUCCCCCCGAGACCCCCCUUCUGGUUUUGGAUUACGAGUUUCCAAGGGACCGGAGCCGACUUGGGAUUAUAAAAGAGUUAUACUUGUUCUGCCCGACCUUCGGGAUAGUGAAUCCUUCCUGCCAGGAAGGCUUCCCUCUCCCUUUGGUCUCCAGGGAUAAGAAGUUCCAUCACUCUGCUCUGCUUCCCGGAAAUCCGGUUAAGAAGAAUGCAUAUUCUACACUUUCCGGGAAGCAGAGCAGAGAGAACAGAGCCCUCGCCCCGGAGGGGCUAAUUCUUGUAGUGAAGAGAUAAAGAAACAUAGAACUUGUGUAUUCCACCAGAGAUGCUCUGUUUUCCACCAGAGAAGCUAUGUUUCUUGUCCUUACAGUGGCAUCCCUAAGGGAUGUCUUACUACCCUUCGAGUCCGAUCUCAGGGUAGCGCUUAGGCGGGGGCCCCAUACCCAUGGGGUUUAGUAGUAGAUUUAUCGAGGGAUUUACCUCGAUCAAUCGGGGUGGCAUCCCAGAGGGAUGGUCUUGUCUUGUAUUAAUGGGAAUUCCUCCCUUUGGUCGGAUACUUAGAUCAUCUAUUUUAGUGGUGCCUUUGGUCACCUCUAAAAUUAUAGGAUUGGCAGGUGAAAUAAGAAUAAAGGAAUUUCUCUCGAAACCCGGUUGGGUUUCUAGCUCGAUUUACUAGGCGAUAUGAGGGUUUUCCAACUCGAGGUACAAACCCCUUAAGACCUAUCCGAACUCUCGAUAGAGAGCCCUCUAGAACAUGGCCCAUUUUCCUGCAAACAACCGUUCCUAAAAUCCAUUUAACAACCAACAGGCAGUGGGAAUCAAGAAAAGCCGAUCAAUCGACUAUUUGAGGCCUUACGGAUCUGUUUUGCAGUCCGGAUGGUCCUGGAGUAAUGACUUAGAGUGAUCUGUGAACCCUUUUGUAACAACCAUAGUUGUUUCCUGUCUAGGGAUAACAUGCGUUAGUGCUAGCCACCUACUUCUUAGCACCGGGAAUAAAACCGGGAGGGGUUCGAAUCCCCUCUGCAAGAUGCGUGGCCAUGGAAUUCCAACCUCCAUGACUGGCGCAAGGUUCCCUUCUCUUGUCGAUUGCUAGCUUAGGAGGAGCCAUAAGAACCCAUCCGCAAUCUCCCCCUGGGGAUAAUGGUCAAUUUCAUCGAUCGAGGGAAUCGAUGGAAACAUUCCCUGGCAAGAGGGGUAAUAGACUUGAGUUACAAAGGACAAGAAGGCACAGAUUGUGGAAGAUCUUCCGAUGCUAGGCGGAAGACACCACUGGGCGGAUCCCACGGGGGUCCGUCCUGCGACAGUGACCGACGCGACGCUAUACCGGAAAGGCCCCUCGGGGUGUUAGAAAGUGUAGGAUGUGUACAGAGCAGUGCUUGGAAAGGGUUGUGCUUCGGGCAAACACCUAAAAAAGGUUUUCCCCCGAACCCCCUUUCCAAAAAAGAUGGAACGGAACUGGAACCUAACUUUGGUGAUUAUCUUCAGUGGUUAGGUUCCAAGAACUAUAGUAUAACUCAUUAGCUACACCCCCGCCCUCAGGGUGAAGGUGUUCCCCCCGAGACCCCCCUUCUGGUUUUGGAUUACGAGUUUCCAAGGGACCGGAGCCGACUUGGGAUUAUAAAAGAGUUAUACUUGUUCUGCCCGACCUUCGGGAUAGUGAAUCCUUCCUGCCAGGAAGGCUUCCCUCUCCCUUUGGUCUCCAGGGAUAAGAAGUUCCAUCACUCUGCUCUGCUUCCCGGAAAUCCGGUUAAGAAGAAUGCAUAUUCUACACUUUCCGGGAAGCAGAGCAGAGAGAACAGAGCCCUCGCCCCGGAGGGGCUAAUUCUUGUAGUGAAGAGAUAAAGAAACAUAGAACUUGUGUAUUCCACCAGAGAUGCUCUGUUUUCCACCAGAGAAGCUAUGUUUCUUGUCCUUACAGUGGCAUCCCUAAGGGAUGUCUUACUACCCUUCGAGUCCGAUCUCAGGGUAGCGCUUAGGCGGGGGCCCCAUACCCAUGGGGUUUAGUAGUAGAUUUAUCGAGGGAUUUACCUCGAUCAAUCGGGGUGGCAUCCCAGAGGGAUGGUCUUGUCUUGUAUUAAUGGGAAUUCCUCCCUUUGGUCGGAUACUUAGAUCAUCUAUUUUAGUGGUGCCUUUGGUCACCUCUAAAAUUAUAGGAUUGGCAG